GCAGAUAACCAUUCUAUUCAUUGAUAGAAGAUUUUUUUUCUUUUCUUUGAAAGUGUCAAAUCUGUGAUUUAAAAAUAGUAUGACAGGCUGGGCUGCUGCUGUUAAUGGGGAGAGAAGGAGCUGUGUGACGAAGAGACAUUGCAUCAGCUUUGCCAUGAAAGUAUUUUCCUUGAUGCGUGGUGACCUAAGCAGCUGUAAGGCAGGUUCAGCUGACCUACAUCGCACCAACAGCUUCACCCCUGCUGAAGUUUAA
Molecule: long non-coding RNA, 253 nt
Filed under: Cyanistes caeruleus (blue tit)
Lineage: Eukaryota; Metazoa; Chordata; Aves; Passeriformes; Paridae
Description: lncRNA (ENSCCEG00000010164.1)
Source: RNAcentral